GGAAUCAGCUGUCUCCUUCGUUCAAGUGAAGUUUUGGUCGUCUGCUAUAAGUACUUUCUUUCCAAUAUUGAUAAAUAUAUUAGUUUUAAUUCAACUAGUCUUCUAAUCUAAAUGACAAUUUUUUAUCGAUUAAAAACAAAUCUAGUGGAGUUGUAAAAUAUUUUGAGUUCUACUAAAACCUUUGUUUAGUUGUAAAUCCAUGUUUCAAAUGUGAGAAGUUGAGGUUAGCUACUCGCUAAUGUCGGUCUGAGCUAUUAUUUUGUAAUAUUGUUAUAUUUCUUUGAUGUACCUGUUGCAAUUCAAUUAAUACAAAUAUUGUAGAAAGAACUGAAGUAUGGACAGUGUAAAAUAAAACUCCUAAUUAUUGUUUCAAUUGUUCCUAUCCUUCUUAUAAAUCAUGGUACUUCACGCAUUUCCCCUCGCCAAACUCGGCGCAUUACUUUUGAGACAAGUUAGUAAACCAAUAGCAAACUUUUUGAAGGAAAGAGCAAAGCAGCAUCCAUUCUUCAGAACUUAUCUUCUUAUGCCGCCAGCACAAUUCUAUAACUGGUGCGAGGUGAAGAUGAAGAUGUGGGUGCUGAACCUGGGCAAACCUGUACAGGUGCCCCCCCUCAACGAAGCCAUGGCCAUAGAUCUGGGCGCCAAUGUCCUCGGGGAGGGCAUUGUCUUCAUAGUCGCCGCUGGCAUUGUCGGAUAUGAGUAUAACCGACAGGUCCGUAAAGAGGCCGCCAAAGAGGCUGCUCGCAAGGAAGAAAUGAGUGUACUGAACUACACCAUCCAAGAACUCUACUUCCAAAUAGAACAACAGUCGGCACAACUCAGAGAACUCCACAGAACCGUUCACAGUCUGGAGGGCAAGGCGCUCCAAAAACCAUGGAAGUUCAUCUCCUCCAAGGAGGGGGAUGAUACAUCCAAACCACCCCCAAAACCCCCUACUAGUCCGCCUAUAACACCCAUUAGUAGUCCGAUUAGUAGUCCGACUAGCGGUCCGAUUAGCAGUCCACCCGCACCCCAAAUCAUAGACAACAAACAUAGCCAUUCUCAUCAUCAUCACUACGAUCAUGCCACAUAUGAAACGGUUCCUAUGCAUUUGGAGCAUAUUAAUAGAGUAGUGGUCGAUGAACCAGGUGUAAUUUUGAAUGCAGUUUCCUAUCUGACUAACGACAUAUUCAAUUUCAAAAACGAUUACUUCAGGGUUAUACAUUUGCAAGAUGAACGUUAGGGUUAGAUGUUGUUGAAUUUUCAGUUUCUAUGCAGUCUAUUGGUUGAUAGAAUUUCUUUACCUCCACAGCUACUCAGAAAAUUUAUAGGAUUUUAAUAGUUACGGUACCGUACUGUAUCUCCAUAACUACUCAGAAAGAUUUAUAUGAAUUUCAAUAGUUACUGUACUGUAUUUCUUGAAACAUAAUAUCAUGAGGAUAUCACGAAAAUGAAUUCCAUACAGACUAUCUCUGUAAGAAAUUUUCAAUUUGAAAAACGAAAGCUUCACUGUUAUAGAUUUGGAAUAUGAUUGCUAGGUUUACAUGUUGUCGAAUUUUCAGUUUCUAUGCAGUCUAUUUUUUUGAUAGGAAUUUCAAUAUGUGUAGAAACAUAAUGUGAGGAUUUCAGGACGAUGGAAUUCGAUAUAGGCAACUCAUUCAAUAUGUAAGACAUUUUCAAUUU
RNAcentral lists this unclassified non-coding RNA (1662 nucleotides) under Nilaparvata lugens (brown planthopper). RNAcentral's name for it is "putative OPA3-like protein CG13603, transcript variant X1". The record is from RNAcentral. Lineage: Eukaryota; Metazoa; Arthropoda; Insecta; Hemiptera; Delphacidae.